CACCGCACAACCCCCACUUAAAUCUAUCUGUAAGCCAAAAUCUGGUAUCACUCCUACUAGAUCUAAUUUGACUAGAAAAAUUUAUACCAAAGACAAUCUCACAAACCCAAAUCACUGCCUCCAUUACUACAACCGCUCAAAAAGCCAUAAUUAAAUUUUAUUUCCUUUCUUUCUUCAUUCCACCUGUCCUAACCUUACCUUUAAUU
RNAcentral lists this long non-coding RNA (206 nucleotides) under Homo sapiens (human). RNAcentral's name for it is "non-protein coding lnc-BRF2-17:1". The record is from RNAcentral. Lineage: Eukaryota; Metazoa; Chordata; Mammalia; Primates; Hominidae.